Molecule: long non-coding RNA, 246 nt
Filed under: Elaeis guineensis (African oil palm)
Lineage: Eukaryota; Viridiplantae; Streptophyta; Magnoliopsida; Arecales; Arecaceae
Description: long non-coding RNA (EGUI_LNC070226)
Source: RNAcentral
UAGUGUGGGAUUGGGUUAGAGGUGGAAAUAGAUGGUGGUGAAAAGGAGGAAGAGGGUUAGUUGGGCAUUUCAUGGGUGGAUGGCAAAGAUGAGAAAUUAGGACUCUUGAGGGACACAUGAGAUAUACUUGCAGGUGAAUAAAGAGAUUUAGUUGGAGAGGAAGAUUUGUCACGCAAGUGUGAUGGAAGAGAUGCACUUGGGGCCUUGAGCAUGACAUCGAAGGAGGUCAAGUUUCUUCAUACAAAG